RNAcentral lists this ribosomal RNA (303 nucleotides) under uncultured bacterium. Its description in RNAcentral is "partial 16S ribosomal RNA". It matches the Rfam family "Bacterial small subunit ribosomal RNA", at positions 507 to 807 of the family's 1533-position model. The record is from RNAcentral.
AGCAGUCGCCACGGUAAUACGAAGGGGGUUAGCGUUGUUCGGAUUUACUGGGCGUAAAGGGCGCGUAGGCGGACUGAUAAGUCAGGGGUGAAAUCCCAAGGCUCAACCUUGGAACUGCCUUUGAUACUGUUUGUCUUGAGUUCGAGAGAGGUAAGUGGAACUGCGAGUGUAGAGGUGAAAUUCGUAGAUAUUCGCAAGAACACCAGUGGCGAAGGCGGCUUACUGGCUCGAUACUGACGCUGAGGCGCGAAAGCGUGGGGAGCAAACAGGAUUAGAUACCCCUGUAGUCCCUGUCUCUUAUAC